RNAcentral lists this transfer RNA (69 nucleotides) under uncultured Alloprevotella sp. It matches the Rfam family "tRNA", at positions 5 to 66 of the family's 71-position model. From Rfam's summary of the family: Transfer RNA (tRNA) molecules are approximately 80 nucleotides in length. Their secondary structure includes four short double-helical elements and three loops (D, anti-codon, and T loops). The record is from RNAcentral. Lineage: Bacteria; Pseudomonadati; Bacteroidota; Bacteroidia; Bacteroidales; Prevotellaceae.
GCUUAGCUCAGUUGGUUUAGAGCGUCUGCCUUACAAGCAGAGGGUCGGGGGUUCGACUCCCUCAGCGCC